UGGCGGCGUGGUUAAGACAUGCAAGUCGAACGGAUUUUCUGGUGUAGCAAUACAUCGGGAGGUUAGUGGCGCAAGGGUGAGUAACACGUGGGCAACCUGCCCGGAAAUGGGGGAUAUCCCGCCGAAAGGCGGAUUAAUACCGCAUGUGACUGGGGACGGCAUCGUCCCUAAGUGAAAGUCGGUGAAAGCUGACGUUUCCGGAUGGGCCCGCGGCCUAUCAGCUAGUUGGUGAGGUAACGGCUCACCAAGGCUAUGACGGGUAGCUGGUCUGAGAGGACGACCAGCCACACUGGAACUGAGACACGGUUCAGACACCUACGGGUGGCAGCAGUCGAGAAUUUUUCUCAAUGGGGGAAACCCUGAAGGAGCGACGCCGCGUGGAGGAUGAAGGUCUUCGGAUUGUAAACUCCUGUCAUGAGGGAGUAAGACAUCGCGUUAACUGCGUGGGUGUUUGAUAGUACCUCAAGAGGAAGAGACGGCUAACUCUGUGCCAGCAGCCGCGGUAAUACAGAGGUCUCGAGCGUUGUUCGGAUUCAUUGGGCGUAAAGGGUGCGUAGGCGGUUGGGUAAGUCAGACGUGAAAUUCCAGGGCUCAACCCUGAAACUGCGUUUGAUACUGCCUGACUAGAGUACUGGAGAGGAGACUGGAAUUCACGGUGUAGCAGUGAAAUGCGUAGAUAUCGUGAGGAAGACCAGUGGCGAAGGCGAGUCUCUGGACAGUAACUGACGCUGANGCACGAAGGCUAGGGGAGCAGACGGGAUUAGAUACCCCGGUAGUCCUAGCAGUAAACGGUGCACGUUUGGUGUGGGGGGGAAUCGACCCCUUCCGCGCCGGAGCUAACGCGUUAAACGUGCCGCCUGGGGAGUACGGUCGCAAGAUUAAAACUCAAAGAAAUUGACGGGGGCCCGCACAAGCNGNGG
RNAcentral lists this ribosomal RNA (920 nucleotides) under uncultured bacterium. RNAcentral's name for it is "bacterial SSU rRNA". It matches the Rfam family "Bacterial small subunit ribosomal RNA", at positions 37 to 935 of the family's 1533-position model. The record is from RNAcentral.